UUUAUACACUGAGGUAUUUAUUCUGUAAUCCUUACAUUAAAUAGAUUUUUAAGGCCAAAAGAGAUCAUUACGGAUUGUUUAUGAGAAUAGUUCCUAUUGAAAUCAAUGGGAGUACUUGUGGAUUAAAAUAUUUCUUAUCUGAGUAAGAGUAGUUGAACUGGGUCUAUGGUGAUAGCACACCUAAUAAUGGUAUACUGUCUUGUGUAUUUUAUAUCUGCAGGUAUCCAUUUACUUCCCUGAUCAGAGGCUACAGAAGAUGUUUUCAUUCUGGGUGGCCUUGAUUGUUACAUGAGAGAGACAAGAUGGGUGAGGAUCCUUGCAAACAUGAUUUCUCUCUCUCUCGGUCUUCCCAGCCCCAAUAAGGCUAUUCCACCUGCAUACUAGAUGGGACAACAUGCAGAGCUGUGGCCCAGAAACAGCUUCACAUGGUGACAUGGUGGUUCCCCAUUCUCCAUAAAUUUUCACAUGAAGAUGAGUGUAUGACCCUGUUUGUUUUUUCUUCCACAUGCUAAUCUAUCUCUGUUUGAUAUUAUUUAUUUAUUUGUUUGUUUGUUUGUUUGUUUUACCAUAGCACCUAGGAGCCCUUGGCAUGGACUACCACCCAACUCUGCUAGGUACUGCCCCAAAAAGUUUACAAUCUAAGAUUAAAACAAGAGACUACAGAUGGAAACAACAGCUAGAUAGGGGAUUACAAGGAAACAAUUAAAAUGAUAUUGGUCAGGAUGAUAGACAACAGCCUAGAUACAUUGCCAAGCUUUUUGUAGGCAUCACAGCAAAGGAAGAUUUUGAAGGAGGAUAAUGAGGUAGCUUUAUAGAUGUUUAAGAUGCUUGUUUGAAAAUUUAACAAGUGGACAAAGGAAGAAAGAGCUGACAUCUUGAAAGUGAAUGAGAGAUGAUAUUUUGGGUGGGCCUUGAAAGUGAAGAUGAGAAGCUUGUGUUUGAUGUGAUAGAGAAGUGGGAGCCAGUAGAGGGAAGCCCAGACAGGGGGGACAUAGUCAAAGCAAUAGGCUUGUAAAAUGACUAUUGCAGAAGCAUUCUGAAUGGAUAUGACCAGGGUAAGAUUGCUUUUAUCAAGGCCAGAGAAAAGGAUGUUGUAGUAUUGGAGAUGCAAGAUGAUCAGAGCCUGGGCAAGGAUUUUAGGUGUGUGGCUGGAUAGGAUAUCCAUUUUAGGGAUAUUAUGCAGUGAGAAUUGGCAAGACUUAGACAUAAGUCUGGAUGUGAAGACCUAGAGAGAGGUCCAAAUCAAUGAUGACAUCCAGGUUAUGGGCCUGAGAGGCAGGUUGGUGGUAUUGCCAUAGUGAUCUAGAAAAGAGGGGAGUAGAGGGGAGGGAUUGAGGGGAAGAUUGAGAGCUCUAUUUUAGAUAUGUUGACCAUGAGUUGACAGCUAGACAUCCAUAAAGAGAUGUUAGAGAGACAGAUUGAGACUUCAGUUUAGACAGGAGGCAGCUCUGGAGAAGAGAAGUAUAUCUCUAGGUCAUCAGCAUAGAGAUGGUAGUUAAAUUUGUGUUUGUGGAUGAGAUUAUCCAGAGUGAGGGUGUAAAGGGGUAAGAGAAAGGGACCAAGGAUAGAAUCCAGUAGACCUUCCCCCAAGAAAGUUGGAGGGGGAUGAGGAUGAUCUGCUGAAGGAAUGAUUAGAGAGGCAGGAGGAGAACCAGGAAAGGACAGAGUCAUGGCAGCUAAGGGAGGACAAGAAGAACAUGGUCAACUGUGUCAAAAGUAGCUGACAGAUCAAGGAGGUUGAGGAUGGAGUACUGGUUCUGAUCUGUGACUAGGAGAAGGUCAUUAAAGACUUUGGUGAGAGUGAUAUGAGUGUACUGCAAGGGGCAGAAGCUGGAUUUGAUAGGAUUUAGGCUGGAAAUGAAAAGAAGGACUCCAGAAAGGUAUUGUGGAGAGUUUGUUCAAUGAGUUUAGAGAUGAAAGAGAGAAGGGAGAUGAGGCAGAGAAGGUAGAGACUAGUGAGCUCCAGGGUGGGAAGGGUUAAAAUGGGAGACAGCAUGCUUGUUUUAUGAUCUGAGGAAAAAGUCAGAAGAGAGUGAGAGGUUAAGGAGAAGAGUAAGGGAGGGGAUCAGAGUAGGUGCAAGGGAGAUCAGGGGAUGCAACGGCAUCACUGGGACAAGUGGGGUAUAUUUGCAAUAGCUUCUAAUGAAGCCUGGGUUAAUCCAUUUCUACACUAAUUGCAUUUGUAUAAAGAAAUUUCUCACUCUUUUAAGACCCAGUCUUUUGUUAGCUUAGUUUGAAUCAUUUUAUUUUUAGCUUGUUACCCUUUCGAACAGCUUUUUGGCAUCCAUCUUUUCUAUUCCCCUCAGAGUUUUACAUAGCAUAUUCACUUCCCCUCCUAAUUGCUUCAUGUAUAAAGAAUGGAGAUUUUUUUUCUUACUCUAAAUAGCUACAAUCCUUGAGAUUGACUAUUAGUGAAGGGGAAAAGCUCACAAAGUAGGGAGGAAUGGUUUGGAGAAGCAUCUGACAAUCAUCUGAGUCUUUGGUCAAGAAACUGGGUUAGGCUUUCCCAUGGGAUACCAGUUCUGGAACUGAUGGAUCCAUUAUCACUUCAAAGUCUUUUCCACAUCAGUGUCUUACAAUACGUGAACAACUGGUCCCCAGUUCAGCAAAGUUCUUAAACACAUGCCUAACUUUAAGCAUCUGAUUAGUUGUAUUCACUUCAAUGGAUAUUAGCAGGGUAAGACUGUAUUUAUCAAGGUCAGAGAAAAGGAUAUUGCAGUAAUUGAGAUGCACAUUUUCAAAUACCUUGCUGAAUCAGGGCCCUAGAACAGGGAUCGGCAACCUUUGGCACGCAG
Molecule: long non-coding RNA, 2795 nt
Organism: Chrysemys picta bellii (western painted turtle)
Lineage: Eukaryota; Metazoa; Chordata; Testudines; Emydidae
Source: RefSeq, a predicted model, not a curated record